AGCCGAAACGCUUCUCAAGGAGCGUCGCUGUGGAGUGGCAGCCCACGGCCCGAUGAUGGCAGGCCAAC
RNAcentral lists this non-coding RNA (68 nucleotides) under Chloroflexota bacterium. The record is from RNAcentral. Lineage: Bacteria; Bacillati; Chloroflexota.